CAGCAGCCGCGGGAAUACGUAGGUCCCGAGCGUUGUCCGGAAUUAUUGGGCGUAAAGGGCUCGCAGGCGGUUUCUUAAGUCUGAUGUGAAAGCCCCCGGCUCAACCGGGGAGGGUCAUUGGAAACUGGGAAACUUGAGUGCAGAAGAGGAGAGUGGAAUUCCACGUGUAGCGGUGAAAUGCGUAGAGAUGUGGAGGAACACCAGUGGCGAAGGCGACUCUCUGGUCUGUAACUGACGCUGAGGAGCGAAAGCGUGGGGAGCGAACAGGAUUAGAGACCCCAGUAGUCCCUGUCUCUUAUAA
This 301-nucleotide ribosomal RNA is filed under the name uncultured bacterium. Its description in RNAcentral is "partial 16S ribosomal RNA". It matches the Rfam family "Bacterial small subunit ribosomal RNA", at positions 509 to 809 of the family's 1533-position model. The record is from RNAcentral.